This 253-nucleotide ribosomal RNA is filed under the name uncultured bacterium. RNAcentral describes it as "partial 16S ribosomal RNA". It matches the Rfam family "Bacterial small subunit ribosomal RNA", at positions 524 to 776 of the family's 1533-position model. The record is from RNAcentral.
UACAGAGGGUGCGAGCGUUGUCCGGAAUGAUUGGGCGUAAAGGGCGCGUAGGCGGCCAGGCAAGUCAGUAGUGGAAGUCCAAUUUUCAAGGUUGGAAGUGCUAUUGAAACUGUAGGGCUUGAGUGCGGGAGAGGUUAUCGGAAUUCCCGGUGUAGCGGUGAAAUGCGUAGAGAUCGGGAGGAACACCAGUGGCGAAGGCGGGUAACUGGACCGCAACUGACGCUGAGGCGCGAAAGUGUGGGGAGCAAACAGG